AAUCCAGGAUCCAUUUCGUGUGGUCAUCUUGUCUCCCUGGUCCCCUCCAGCCUUUCCUCAUCUUUUGUGACCUGGUCACUCUGGAAGGGCGCUGGCCAGUUAGUCCACAGGAUGGGCCUCCCCUGGGGCUUUUCUGAUGCUUCCUUAUGAUGGCACUGGCAUCCUGAGGGGGAGGACCACAGAGAGGAGGUGCUCCUCAUCACACCACAUGGGGGUCCAUGCACCAGUGCCACUGCUUUCCAGGGCUCUUCACCUUCAUCACUGGUGGAGGUGGCGUCUGCCAAGAAGCAGAAAGUUGAGGCUUAGAAGGUGCACGGCCCUACCUCUUCCGAGGUGCCCCUGCGGGCUGUCUACAGACCAGGCAGCACAUGCCUGAUAGCAGCUGCAUAAGGAAAAGCAGGAGCCAGCUCGUGCACAGUGGCCUCAAGUGUGCACUGGGCAUGUUCUCUGCCUCACCAUCCCUGUGUGACAGAUGAAGCAUGGCAAGCCAGGCUCCAGAGAAGCAUCCUGAGGACCAGUGUUCCUAGGGACCUCAUUCUUCUGACCUCAUUCCUACAACGUUUUGUCACUGCAAAGGAAAUCACCAAGGCCAGCAUGACAGCCCUCAACAGAAGCCAAGGCCAAGUCCUCGAACUUCCUAGUCUGCACAAUGCUUGAGAAGCCUCUGCCUGGGUGCGCAGCCCCACAGCCCAGCCUCUGCAGAGUGGGAGGGGAGCCAGGCCCUGCUUGGGUAGCAUUGCCAUGGCAACCUCUCCCCACGCUGCUCCUCGCUGAGACCCGGGCAUCUGUGGCCAUGGCGACUGGGCCUGCCACUGGCACAUCUGCAUAGCAACCAGAGAGGGUGCCGAGCGCAGCUGGGCCCCGCUCAGGAAAACAGGUACACUCAGAGCUUUUAUCAGUCAUUAAGGAGAAGCUGGGAGCCUCUAUGGGGAGAAAGGACAAAGGAUGCAGACAAAAGACUUGGAACCGCAAGUGGCUAAUAAAUCUAUGACAAGUGCCCAACAUUACCAGCGAUCAUAGAAAUGCAAAUGCAAACAACAAUAAGAUACUUAAAGAAAAACAACAACAACUAGUGCAAUUGGCAAGAGAUGAGGCACAAAAGAGAUAGGACCCAGUGUUGGCGGGGGGUGUAGGGAAUGGGGACUCGAACACCCUGCUGGUCUGAGUGCACAUUCAUGGAACAUUUCUGAGAAGGCAAUUUGCAAUCUGUAUCAAAAGCCUUUAAAAUGCACAUACCUUUUGAACCAAC
Homo sapiens (human) is the source of this 1249-nucleotide long non-coding RNA. Ensembl annotates it as long intergenic non-protein coding RNA 1471. NCBI's taxonomy places the organism in Eukaryota, Metazoa, Chordata, Mammalia, Primates, Hominidae. The record is from Ensembl.